This 545-nucleotide long non-coding RNA is filed under the name Coturnix japonica (Japanese quail). RNAcentral describes it as "lncRNA (ENSCJPG00005002937.1)". Lineage: Eukaryota; Metazoa; Chordata; Aves; Galliformes; Phasianidae. The record is from RNAcentral.
GAGUUAAAAGGGGCUGCUAAUGGGGCUGCAUGGUUAAGAGUGCCCAUGGACGUCUUCCCUUGUGCCACUCACCUUGCACACUCAGCUUGCCCACUUAUGUGCACCAACAGCCCCCCAGACCCCAGUAUAUCCAUUGACAUUGGUUGGUUGGGUCCAAAGGAGCUGCUAAUUGGGAUUGCAUGGCUAAGUGUCCCCAACCCAAUGCAUGGAGAUCUCCCCUUGCACACUCACCUUGCACACUCACCUUGCACACUUAUGUGCACCAACAACCCCCCAGACCCCGCUCUAUCCUUUGCCAUUGGGUUUGGGCUGCUGAUCAUGGGCUAUGAAGGAGCUACAGCUCAAUGGCUCACAGUCCAUAGAUCCCAUGGAGAUGUCUCCUUGCACACUCACCUUGCACACUCAGCUUGCACACUUAUGUGCACCAACAGCCCCCCAGACCCCAGUAUAUCCAUUGACAUUGGGUUUGGGGUCAAAGGAGCUGCUAAUAGAAUUGGCAUGGCUAAGUGUCCCCAACCCAAUCAUGGAGAUGUCUCCUUGCACAG